UGGGGAAUAUUGCACAAUGGGCGCAAGCCUGAUGCAGCCAUGCCGCGUGUAUGAAGAAGGCCUUCGGGUUGUAAAGUACUUUCAGCGGGGAGGAAGGGAGUAAAGUUAAUACCUUUGCUCAUUGACGUUACCCGCAGAAGAAGCACCGGCUAACUCCGUGCCAGCAGCCGCGGUAAUACGGAGGGUGCAAGCGUUAAUCGGAAUUACUGGGCGUAAAGCGCACGCAGGCGGUUGAUUGAGUCAGAUGUGAAAUCCCCGGGCUUAACCCGGGAAUUGCAUCUGAUACUGGUCAGCUAGAGUCGUGUAGAGGGGGGUAGAAUUCCAUGUGUAGCGGUGAAAUGCGUAGAGAUGUGGAGGAAUACCGGUGGCGAAGGCGGCCCCCUGGACAAAGACUGACGCUCAGGUGCGAAAGCGUGGGGAGCAAACAGG
RNAcentral lists this ribosomal RNA (429 nucleotides) under Chloroflexota bacterium. RNAcentral's name for it is "Chloroflexi bacterium partial 16S ribosomal RNA". It matches the Rfam family "Bacterial small subunit ribosomal RNA", at positions 355 to 776 of the family's 1533-position model. The record is from RNAcentral. Lineage: Bacteria; Bacillati; Chloroflexota.